RNAcentral lists this long non-coding RNA (870 nucleotides) under Homo sapiens (human). RNAcentral describes it as "HSALNT0319030". Lineage: Eukaryota; Metazoa; Chordata; Mammalia; Primates; Hominidae. The record is from RNAcentral.
UCCAAUGGAGAAAACGUAAAUUCAGAGGCACUCUCCUAUGUUGGAAACUGUGGCUAGACCUUCACAGGAAAGGAAAUAUGUGAAGUUAGAUGUUCGGCCUUAUUAGUAAUUAGAAAAAUGUUUAAAAUUAACCUGAGAUUCAAUUUUCCAAUCAUUUAACUGAUAGAAAAACCUAUAAAUUAAAAAUGAAAUAUGUCAAUAAUAAGCAUUGGAAAUGAUGUGGAUUUACAAAUUACGUGGGGUACAAAUUGGUAUAAACACUUUGGAAAAGACUUUGGCAUUAACCGCUUAAGUUGAACAUUCAUAUACCUUAUAACCAAGCACUUCAAAUUCUAGGCAUAUGUAUGUGAAUACUCUUUCACAUGUUUAGUAGAAGAUGUGUAAAUGGCUGUUCACAGAACCAGAUCACAGAACACACCAGAGUUCUCUAAUAUGAACACUGUGAUAUAUUUAUACAAUAGAAUGUUACAUAACAAAGAAAACAAAUGAACUACGUAGCAUGGGACAACAUGGAGGAAGCUUGAGCAUAUACAAUUAAAUUAAAAAUUAAGUCACCAAAAGAUGGCUUUUUAUUAAUAUAAUAAUAUUUAAAACCUCAUGUAUUUUUCAAGAUUACACAUAGAUACAGGAACCAGGAAGAAGAACUUGAUAACAGGACCUUGCAUAAUUAAUCGAUUGAUCACUGAACUUCAUUGUCAUAUUUCUACGGUCAAAUUUUGGGAGAAAGCUGUCGCAAAUUCAUCAGAGUGUAGCAAUGCCCGAGUUGUAACUGAGUUCCAUCUGGAUAAAACCAAGAUAGAAAUUGUGCCUCAUAAUUGAUAUUUUGAGGAUUCCAUGAAGUAAUAAAUUUAUUAUGUGCUAAGAAAUAUG